Molecule: transfer RNA, 67 nt
Filed under: Ischnura pumilio
Lineage: Eukaryota; Metazoa; Arthropoda; Insecta; Odonata; Coenagrionidae
Description: tRNA-Ala
Rfam family: tRNA
About the family: Transfer RNA (tRNA) molecules are approximately 80 nucleotides in length. Their secondary structure includes four short double-helical elements and three loops (D, anti-codon, and T loops). Further hydrogen bonds mediate the characteristic L-shaped molecular structure. tRNAs have two regions of fundamental functional importance: the anti-codon, which is responsible for specific mRNA codon recognition, and the 3' end, to which the tRNAs corresponding amino acid is attached (by aminoacyl-tRNA synthetases). tRNAs cope with the degeneracy of the genetic code in two manners: having more than one tRNA (with a specific anti-codon) for a particular amino acid; and 'wobble' base-pairing, i.e. permitting non-standard base-pairing at the 3rd anti-codon position.
Source: RNAcentral
AGGAUAGUAGUUAAAUAUAACAUUUGAUUUGCAUUCAAAAAGUAUUGAAAUAUUUCAAUCUAUCUUG